GGCUCUUUGAUUUUAAAAAAUAAAGAGUCGGACCUGCCCGGUGAUUUAUUUUAACGGCCGCGGUACUCUGACCGUGCAAAGGUAGCAUAAUCAUUUGCCUUAUAAUUGAAGGCUUGUAUGAAUGGUUUGACGAGAGUAUAACUGUCUCAAUUUGAUUAAAUAGAAUUUUAUUUUGAAGUGAAGAAGCUUGAAUAAUAUUAAUAGACAAGAAGACCCUAUCGAGCUUAAAUUAAGGCUCUAAAGGUUAAAAAAUAAUAUUAAAAAUUUGUUUAUUGCAAAUUUUGGUUGGGGCGACUUAGGAACAAGAAAAGCUUCCUAAAAUAUAAAUAUUUACUAGAUGAUCCAAAAUUUUUUUGAUUAAUGAAAUUAGUUACCGUAGGGAUAACAGCAUUAUCUUCUUUGAGAGUUCUUAUCGAAAAGAGGGUUUGUGACCUCGAUGUUGGACCAGAAUAUCCUAAAGAUGUAGCAGUCUUUAAGGGUUGGUCUGUUCGACCAUUAAAAUUCUACG
Molecule: ribosomal RNA, 508 nt
Filed under: Mitrella loyaltyensis
Lineage: Eukaryota; Metazoa; Mollusca; Gastropoda; Neogastropoda; Columbellidae
Description: partial large subunit ribosomal RNA
Rfam family: Bacterial large subunit ribosomal RNA
Source: RNAcentral